GUCUUUUUGAUUUUAAUUUAAAGUCUAACCUGCCCAAUGAAUAAUUUAAUGGCUGCAGUAUUUUGACUGUACAAAGGUAGCAUAAUCAUUAGUUUUUUAAUUGAAAACUGGAAUGAAGGGUUGAAUGAGAAAUUUACUGUCUUAAAUUUAAUUUAAUAGAAAUUUAUUUUUAAGUUAAAAAGCUUAAAUAAUUUUUAAAGACGAGAAGACCCUAUAGAAUUUGAUAAAAUUUAUAUUUAUAAGUUUAAGUUUAAAUAAUUAUAAAUAUAUAAUUUAUUUAAUUGGGGUGAUUAUAAAAUUAAAGUAACUUUUAUUUUAAUAAAUCAAUAAUUUUUGUUUACUUGAUCCAUAAAAAUGAUUAUAAGAUUAAAUUACCUUAGGGAUAACAGCGUAAUUUUAUUAGAAAGUUCAAAUUGAAAAUAAAGAUUGCGACCUCGAUGUUGGAUUAAAAUUAAUAAUUGGUGAAGAAGCUGAUUUAUUAGGUCUGUUCGACCUUUAAAAUUUUACA
This 508-nucleotide ribosomal RNA is filed under the name Micropsephodes lundgreni. Its description in RNAcentral is "partial 16S ribosomal RNA". The stretch from base 382 to 508 matches the Rfam family "Archaeal large subunit ribosomal RNA", at positions 2542 to 2669 of the family's 2987-position model. Lineage: Eukaryota; Metazoa; Arthropoda; Insecta; Coleoptera; Endomychidae. The record is from RNAcentral.